ACACAUCUAACCACUCUUCAGCUGAUAUCCACUUGCUGACAAAUGAAUCUCUCUGGCCCCUGGACUGUGCCCUGAAACACAGCUUAAAACAGCAGAAUGAACAGUAAUCCCAGAGAUCCUGAGAUGAGAAAAGGGUGUUUGACUUAUUCAAAGAAGACCAAGGAAGCCCAAAGACCAGAGAAGAGUGCAGGAAAGGGGCGGCGGUCUGAGAUGCAGUCAGAGCAGUGGCAAGCCCCCAGAGUCUGUGGCAAAGACUUCAGGUUUCAUCCUGAAGAGGAAGACAGGUCUUUGGAGAGUUUUGAUCAAGGAAGUGAGAUGAAAUAUCUUAGGCUUACAAAGAACUACUCUGACAUCUAAAUGGAAAAUGGACUGAUGAAGCAAAAGAAGCCACAAGGAAGCCAGUUCAGAGGCUAUUGAAAUGCUCCAGAGGAACAGCGGUUUAUUGAAAGGAAAGCAAAUGUCCAGAAGCAAAAACAAACAAACAAAAAACAAACAAACAAACAAAAACAGAAAAAACUUCCCCAAAAGUAAAGAAUCACAGCUUUAUUCAGUAGCUCCUCAAUUAAAAUAGUCAUCUUCUUAAUUGUGCCAUCUUCAGAAGCAGCCAUAUAUACUGUAGUUAAGAGGCACAUGGUGAGAAAUUUGGGGUCCAAUCAAGAUGAUAGGAUUCAUCUACAUGGCAGCCCUCAAAGAUUCUGGAAGAGAAAAAUGGUGAAAAGAUACUCAGAGAGUGAGAGCCUUCAGAUUUGGGUGAGUGAUGCCAUUAGAACCAAGAUUUCUUCCAUUCUUCUGCUCUAUCAUUCUCAGCACAACAUGCUUUUCUCAUUAAGGCCGCUGUGGUUCGUCUUCUGCCUGGGAACUGGAUAAAAACAUCAGUGAAUACCCCAAAGAUUUUCAAAAAUGCUUGUUGAUAAAAUGAAGUCAGAAUGUGAGAUGAGCCCUUCCACCUGAGUGAUGUUGGUCUUGGCUGUGUGAUUUGCUUUGGCUGAUGAUAAGUUGAUGGAAGUGAUAGUAAGACAAUGCUGAGCCUCAUCCUCGGAAGUAUCUCUGCCUUCACCUGGCUUUGUGCACCACUGCCCUGGCUUUGAGAAGAACAUGAGCCCAGUAAAUUGUUAGUCCAGGAAGAAUGAGAGCCCUAUAUUAGGUAUUGAGGGUUCAGGGAUGAACUAAGCUGAUCUGGUUCCUGCUCUCUAGGCUGUAGAAGAUGGCAAGUGCUGUGGACUUCAAAGAAAAGAUUUCUGAAGUGUCAUGUUAUGACAAUUGUGAUGCUUCAAACUAUGUUGACUAUUCAUUUACAGCAUAAAGAAGAGUGAGCCACUUUAUCACUGCAGUAAUUAUAUUUUAAAAAUAAAGAAAAUAAAACAAAUGGAGUUUCCCACCCAAUCCAUGGAGACACAGACACGAAGUCUUACUAUAGAUGUGUGGCCAAUCCUUACAUUGCUUUUAUUACAAGCCUGGAAAUGACAAUAAAAUACAUGAACUUGAGAGUAUAUA
This 1494-nucleotide long non-coding RNA is filed under the name Homo sapiens (human). RNAcentral describes it as "HSALNT0393717". Lineage: Eukaryota; Metazoa; Chordata; Mammalia; Primates; Hominidae. The record is from RNAcentral.